UGCUUUUUGGAAAUGUGAUUUAGUUGGUAAAUAAAUAUGUACAAGUGCUUAAAGGGAUACUUCAGCCAUUCAGAACCGGCGUUUCAUCAUUAUAAAAUCGCUAUUGUAAUAUAUAAAAAAAGUUUUUUUUCCCCCUCAGUCUAACCCAGUCUUCCCUUGAACCAGCUUUCCUGAUCCAAGUUUCUCCCGAGAUGACGAUGUCAUCUCGGGAGAACUUUGCUUGCCUGCUAGAAGGGCCAAGGACUACAAACCACUGUUUCCGCAAAUUUGUGAGCCCACCAAUAAGGAAUGAGGGGGGGCGGGAGCUCGCGUACGAGAUAUAAACACAAUGCCAUGUUUCUUCACCGCUUAGCUAGAGAACAUAUUCGCAAUAUGAAACAGCCAAAGUGGAUUUUGAAAAUCUAUUGUUGGAUUCAGACUUUCAGGGCUAUUAGUAUGACCCAGAAUACAGCCAGGAAGAAUUGACACAAAUAGAGAAAGAGGCUGCUGCGGCUGCAGCUGAACAAGCCUUGCCUGUUGCCGAGGACGAGGAGCCGGAGCGCGCCGGUUUGCUCUAUUCGCCUAUAGACACUAACACAGAGUCCCUGUCCUGGAGCGAAUUUCAGCAAUGCCAGUUUCUUCUAGAAUAAAUUGCUGAAUCUGGUGAGGACGGGGCCAUGUGUGUAACCUCUCACCCAGGCUUUACGCCUCAUCUGAACAGUUGGGUAUUGGAUACAUAUUUCCAGACCCAGAAAGUGAAAUGGUAACACCAGCCAAAGCCCGCUGGAGAAAGCGACUUCUGACCAUAGAACAGUAUCGGCUUCCUGUGUUGUCCAGGCCAUCAGAGCUAAUUACCCAGCACAAGAUGGGCAUUACCGUGGCUACCAGGAGACAGGAGAUGCUUAAGAUGAGCUGUGACUAUUUUGACUCUAGCAAAACGCACCCUACACGUUUUAUUUUUGUAAAUAGUUCAUAUUUUUUCAUGAAUAAAACUUCAAAUUCA
Gadus morhua (Atlantic cod) is the source of this 982-nucleotide long non-coding RNA. RefSeq lists it as uncharacterized. The record is from RefSeq and is a predicted model, not a curated record. The transcript is spliced from 2 exons. Lineage: Eukaryota; Metazoa; Chordata; Actinopteri; Gadiformes; Gadidae.